This 3096-nucleotide long non-coding RNA is filed under the name Capsicum annuum. RNAcentral's name for it is "long non-coding RNA (CANN_LNC016393)". The record is from RNAcentral. Lineage: Eukaryota; Viridiplantae; Streptophyta; Magnoliopsida; Solanales; Solanaceae.
GGUAGUGAAGCUGGAGCUGAAGAUUGAGUUGGUGGCAUUGGAGCCAUAGCAGGUGCUUGAGCCAAAAUGCAAGUGAAUUGGAGCAAGAAGAAAAACAAGAAAAGAAAGGGUGAGACUAAGUUGAAGUUCAUUUUUUUUUCCCUUUAUUUCGCUGAAUUCGAAUUUUGUUAGAUGUGGAGGGAGAAGGAGAAAGUGUGCCAGUUAUAUAGUGAGCUGUGGGUUGAUUUCUUGCUUCAAAAUAUUAAAGAAAAAAGAUGUGAUAAUAGGUUUGGGGAUAAAAGUUUGUGGGGUAUUGGGAUGAAAGAAAUAGUUAGGUGAAAAGGUGGUGCAAUUUAUGGUGAGUUGAGAAUAAUAACUUAUGUACUGUUAUAAUGCAGCUUCUAGCUUGCUUAUGAAGGGAAAAACAGCUGGAGAAGUGAACUAAUUCCUUUGUAGAUACCAUUAGCUAGAUCUGUAAAUAUAAUUGUAUGUAUAGCCACUUCAAUCGUGUUCGUCAUUUCUCCAAAAUAUCUUUUUUAUCUGGCAACAUGGUCAACUAGAAAUUUUUAUAUUCACGAUUCUUCAUUAACCCAUAGGUAAAAUGCUCUAGCUUUCCAUUCUCAUGUGAGUCUGGAACGUGAAUUGGCCAUUCAGUUUAUGUUGUGUGAUUUGAGGAGGGUAAAGUAGUUAGGUAAAAAUAUUUCAAGUUUUUCUUUUUUACUUUAUGCGUUUAGGGGCCUACUUACUCUACUAAUCCAUAUUCAUAUUGCGUGGAUGACAGAAAUGCUUUCUUCCAAGAGUAACUCCAUUUUCAGGGCUCGAACUUGAGAUCUCUAGUUAAAGCUAUAAGGAUAUCAUCCAUCCCACCAGACUCGUUGCUGGUAUAUUUCAAGUUGCAUAUAUGCAAUCACAAAAUAAGUAUAGCACAAUCCUAAAUGAUUACUCAUGAAUUUGUGGGACAAGAGGCAAAUUUAGUUGCAACUACACUGGUCACAAUCGAGAAAUUCUUGGUACAGCUGACGAUAAUGUAAUGUAAGGUGAUAAAUGAUAAUCCUUGUAUUUGUUGUGUUCUCUACUAUCUUUUUGCAGUGUCAAUGCAUGACAGGAUAUCACAACCAUUUUUAGCAGAUGAGCUAAAACUAUCAGGAGGAUUAAUAAUGAUUAGUGAUGCUGAGAAAUGUGUCAAUCAUUCUGGAUUUGUAAGGUAAUUAUGCCACACUUUUCUGCUUGUACUUCUUCUAGACAGGAAAAUCACAUUUUUUCCUCUUCUCCUCUGAGCAGUAAUUUCAAAUUCUAUUUUUAGUUUAUCGCAUCAAAUUCAUAAAACUAACUUUUGUAACGAAAAGUUUUUUCAAUUAUGCCUAUAUAAUCACUGGGAAAAAAAUGCAGUAUAAUGCUAAAUGAUCCUUUGUAGGUGACAAACGCGAGUUUUAGGACCACACAUGUAUACUUUCCGUGCAAUUCUUAGAUGAAAUUUGGCUGGAAAACUAUUUUUUACAUUUGACAGAACAAAAGUGGUGAAAUUUAUUGACAGGACAGCAAACUUUAUAUGUGUCACUUAGAUUGUUUCACCCCAAGUUCAAGAUCACAAGACUUGCAAACGACGUUUAUUUGCUUCUUUUUUCUUUUACAUGGGAAAAGAUAACAAAUUACUUUAAAUCUUUCAUUAGCAACGUGACUUGAAUCAAUCAAGAGAAAAAACUCCAUUUUCUUGAGUGGAGCUUUCCAAACGAUCAAACCCUCUUUAUUUCUAUGACCUUCAUUUGCCAGAAAAUGGUCACAUUUAUUCUUCUUCCGCAAGAUGUAUGUAAUAGUAGCCUUCAUGGUUUCCAGCAAAUUUUUAUGAUCUUCAAUAAUAGCCCUAACAAGUGAUACUAUCUGUCCUCUUUGAUAAGCUUGACAACAAGUAGGCAGUUUGUUUCCGCCUUUAAUUCUUUAUACCCAAUUCUUUUUGUUAGUUUUGACCCUUGUUUGAUGCUCCAUAGCUCUAUAGUGAGGCUUGAAGUUGGAUUCGUCUUACCUGAAACCCGAUAUCUACUUCCCUUUGUCUCAAAAAUUCCUUAAGUGCCGCAUGUGCCUUGUUUGAGUCUUGACAUUAGCAUUACAGGCAUUUUGAAAAUAAUGCAAUAUUUGUAUCAGGAAUUAUACUAAUUUUGGAAUGUGGUGGCAUGGUGCUAUGCACUCCUGAUUAAAGCCACUUCCUGUGGCUUUGCCUAGACAUCAUCAUCUCUCGUCAGGUUUAGCUAAAAAAUUAUUGGGAAAACAAAAUAAUAAAAGAAAAUUUAUGCGGAAGAAUUGAGCUGAUAUACCCAUAUCUUAUAGUAAUUCUGAAGUGGAUAUUCAAAUUCUUUUAAAAGAUAACAUAAUAUGCAAUUAAGAUCUUUGAGAAGGACAUAAAUUGCAGUUACAUAAAUUGCCUAUGUGUAAUGUGAGAGCACCCCCUGGACUUAAAACUAUAGUAAAACAUCUGAUGUUUUAGUAUGUUGCGUUUUCUGGUUUUCUUUUCUUUAUGCUUUCAGCUGUCUGUAAAUGAGGAGAACAAUUGGAUAGCUCACGAAAAUUAACAUCUUAUGAAGUUUCACUUGAGCAUACAUAACAAAAUAUAACAAGCAUGCUGGUAUUGCAUGCAACUGAUUAGCUCAUAUACACAGAGAAAACAGAGAAGAAGAAAAAGGAGCCAGGAUAGACCAUUCCCCGGAACAUGUGGGGAAGAAGAGAAGUGGCACCAGAUGGAACAACAUUAACGGAGGAAGAAUCCGAGGAAGGAUCAUCCUUCUGUGGCUUUGAUGGCUCUGGAGCAGGUGCUGGUGGUAAUGGUGGGACAAAGAAUUUCAAAGGAAGCAGUACUUUAUCCACUUGGUAAAUAGCUAAUUGAUUGUCAGUGUAAAUUGUACUGGUCAGACUUGCAUUCACAAUUCCGGUUGUUAUGUUCACUGCUGUCCCAUUUGUGGUUAUGUUGAUGGGGAAUUCACGAUUAGUGGUUCCUCCAGCUUGUGUUGGUACAGGGUUGCUAGCCGUUUGGAACUGCGACAGGGAGAAAUAUGAGGGGAGGAUAUGGAAUUUAACCAAGUCAGCUUUCCGCUGAUCGCUGAAAGAGUUGAGGGUGCCAGUUUUCAG